This 2428-nucleotide long non-coding RNA is filed under the name Homo sapiens (human). Its description in RNAcentral is "HSALNT0214549". The record is from RNAcentral. Lineage: Eukaryota; Metazoa; Chordata; Mammalia; Primates; Hominidae.
CUGAGCAUCGACCUGCCUUUCCCUCCCCUCCAUCAGUGAAGGAAUCUGCCCUGCCCUCUGGGUCAAAGUUAUAGCACCCAUGCUUGCAUCUCCUGGACCUUGUUCCCUGCUUCAUCUUUAUCCAUAGCACUUACCACUAUUUGCAAAUUAUAUACAGUUUUUUUUGUUGUUGUUUGUUUGUUUGUUUGUUUUAAGAUGGAGUCUUGUUCUAUUGCCCAGGCUGGAGUGCAUGAGACUCCAUCUCAAAGAAAAGAAAACAGUAACCAAAUUCAUCACCCCCUGCCUUUUCCCAAAGGCUUCUUCUCCUGUUCCAUUACAAAAGUGCAUGCCUGACCAAUGCAGGCGUUCAUGAGUGUCCAGAAGGUUCCCCAACUCAUAUUCCAAUCAUCCCAGCGGUAAAGCAUCUCAAAAGACCUGCUUGGUGUCUUUCUUUCUUUCUUUCUUUUCUUUCUUUCUUUCUUUCUUUCUUUCUUUCUUUCUUUCUUUCUUUCUUUUCUUUCUUUCUUUUCUUUCUUUCUUUCUUUCUUUCUUUUCUUUCCUUUUCUUUCUUUUCUUUCUUUCUUUCUUUCUUUCUUUCUUUCUUUCUUUCUUUCUUUCUUUCUUUCUUUCUUUUUUGAGACAGUCUCUCUCUGCUGCUUAGGCUGCAGUGCAAUGGUAUAAUCAUGGCUCACUGCAGCCUCAACCUCUGGGCUCAAGCAAACCUCCCACCUAAGCCCCCUGAGUAGCUAGGACUACAGGCGUGCACUACUACACUCAGCUAACUUUAAAAAUUUUUUUGUAGAGAUAGGGUUUCACUGUGUUGCCCAGGCUGGUCUCAUGGGCUCCAGCCACUGCAUCCAGCCGACCUGCCUGGUUUAUAACUCACAUUUUAACUCACAUUUACUCCAAGACCAACUUGCCCUGAAGCCUUGAGGUUACCCCCUACAGGACUGCACCUGAAUUAACCUGUGCUCAGUGGUCUUUGCAGUCCUGAUAUGAAGAGUAUUGUAUUAGUCCAUUCUCACACUGCUAAAAGGACAUACCCGAGACUGGGUAAUUUAUAAAGAAAAGAAGUUUAAUUGACUCACGGUUCUGCAGGGCUGGGGAGGCCUCAGGAAACUUACAAUCAUGGUUGAAGGUGAAGCAAACACGUCCUUCUUCACAUAAUGGCAGGAACAAGAAGAAUAAGUGCCCAGCAAAGGAGGAAGCCUCUUAUAAAACCAUCAGAUCUCAUGAGCACUCACUAUCACAAGAACAGGAUGGGGAAAACUGCCCCUGAUUCACUUACCUCCACCUAGUCCCUCUCAUGAUGCAUGGGGAUUAAGGGAACUACAAUUCAAGAUGAGAUUUGGGUGGGGACGUGGCCAAACCAUAAGUACAGACCCUUAGAGGCAAAAAGGACAGUUUGCUGCUUUCUCAGAGGGCACACCGCUGUUCUCAGCUCUUUCCCUACAACAAACGACCUUCUCUGUGACCCUCCAGAGCAGGACAUGAAGCCAUAGUGAGGGGCAGUAUGACCAGCAGCUUGGGAACUGAAGGGGAAGAGACUUUUUCUCUAGGUUCUAUGGCUGGGACCUGUGAAUUGAACUGAUAAAAGAUUAACAGUAGAAAACGCAUACGAAUAAUUAUUUGAUGUUAACAUUUUUACACGGCAUAGGGUAGGGAGAGGGGCUUUAUAGAAAGACGUGAAAACCACAAGGAAGCGGUUAAAUAUACCAUUUUAACAAAGAGAAGUAAAUUGUGGAGAUUGGACAAGACAAAGGAAAAGAGGGUUUGGGCUAGGGGCAGAAAAUUGUGGGAAAGUGACUAGGAAAUAUAUGAGGGAAACCCACGGAAGAUAAGAGUUAUUCUAGUAAGGUUUGUUUGUACAGACUCAUCUCAGCAUCUGCUCCCUAACUCCAAUGAUAAGAAUGUUCUCCUCUUCCCGGUACGGGGAGGCCAUCUUUCUCAUGGAGAAUUUAUGCCUUGCUUUUAGGUAAAAAGGGGCAGGACAGAGAGCCCUACCGCACAACUGCUGUUUCUCAACUGCCUUCAGCUCAAAAUAAUCAAUGUGUCAAAGAGACAUAUUUUGGGGUGGAAUGUUCUGAUCCCCAUUGGAACUGUGAAGCAAGUACUGUCAGGUGGUGUGGGGGCAGACUUUCACAUGUCAAGAGUGAUGAGUGAAAUAUAAGAAAGAAACUAGGCUGGGUGUGGUGGCUCAUGCCUGUAAUCCCAGCACUAUGGGAGGCCGAGGUGGGUGGAUCACGAGGUCAGGAGUUCAAGACCAGCCUGGCCAAGAUGGUGAAACCCCUGUCUCUGCUAAAAAUACAAACAUUAGCCGGACGCAGUGGCAGGUGCCUGUAAUCCCAGCUACUUGGGAGGCUGAGGCAGGAGAAUUGCUUGAACUCGGGGGUCAGAGGUUGCAGUGAGCCGAGAUCGCGCCACUGCACUCCAGCACUCCAACCUCGGC